Long non-coding RNA from Canis lupus familiaris (dog), 1450 nucleotides. RefSeq lists it as uncharacterized. Lineage: Eukaryota; Metazoa; Chordata; Mammalia; Carnivora; Canidae. The record is from RefSeq and is a predicted model, not a curated record. The transcript is spliced from 4 exons.
UACUACUGGCAUUCUCCAGGUUCACAGCCAUCCUGAUCACACCAAUGGAUCUACAAGUCUUUCUUUUCUCACAGAUGGGUAAAAUUUCACUAUGUACUGGACCAACACAGCAAUUUAUUAAUACCUUUCUUUUUUUAAAAAAGAUUUUAUUUAUUUAUUCAUGAGAGACACAGAGAGAGAAGCAGAGACACAGGGAGAAGCAGGCUCCCCAAGGGGAGCCUGAUGCGGAACUUGAUUGCAGGACCCCAGGAUCACAACCUGAGUCAAAGGCAGAUGCUGAGCCACCCAGCUUCAACUAAUACCUGGACAACAAAAUGUAUGCGGAUGAUUGUAAGCACAUGAUUCCAUCUGUGAUUAUUUUGGAAGGCUGAGUUAAUAUGGUGUCUACACUGAAAGCAAAUGCAUAUAUUGUAACAGUGAUCUUUUCAAAUGCCAUUUUAGAAGUACCAUGACAAUAAGUGUCAAUGGUGGAUUGCAACUUCAGGAGUGAUUCCUGAUUUAAAAACAAGAAAACUGACACACAGAGAGCUUGAGUAACUUCCUCAGGGGUCAUUCAACCCAGGCAACCAACUUGGGGUCAUAUCAGAUCCAGACAGCUUGCAUUCAGAGGCAGCACACACAAGAUGCUCAAAAAUAUGGCUGGCCUCCUGUGUAGUCUACAAAAGUUGACAGGGGAAAAAAUCAACACUCAAAGGCAUGAAAUUACAUGGACCAUGAACUAUACAUGAAGAAGAUUUGGAUAGAAGACAGAAGACUUUCUUUUUGGUCAGGCAUUUCAUCCACCUAGAAAGACUGUUGAGGUCUGAGUAGAAGACUAGUAGAGGUAGUUUUGCCAUUGGAGAAAGACAGAUAUGCAACGCUAUGUAGCAGUGAUCAGCUGAGCAGGGUCACAUUGUACACAGAGGUUGACCUUUCCAUGGCUAUGGGAGAGAACAUUGGUUAUGAGCCUGGUGCAGGAUUAGAGUAGAAAUGUUUGGCAGAUACAAUGAUUGGCCUUUUCUGGUAUUUUAACAUUUAAAGGCUACAGAUCAAACAUAGGGAAAAAAGAGAGAGAAAAUCAGAUAAAUCACCUCCUUUGAAAUAAGGAAAGGAAGAAGAAAAAUUGAAGACAGAAAUAUCUUUUCACAUCUAAACAAUCCUUGCUACUAGAUUUUCAAUGAAACUAAGCCUAUGGGUCUCAGUAAAUGGUGGAGGAAGUGAGGUUUUAUUCCUAGUCACUGUUAUUAGUUUUAUUCCUUUACUUCUACCCAUACCUAUUUCUGUCUUAUAUUAUUUAGGGAGAGAAAAAGAUAAUUCCUGUAGUAGGAUGCAGUCUUUUAGAAUGUGUCCUUUGUUUCUUGCUAAGAGGAAAUCAAAUGCAAAGAAGAAAGUUUCCCAAGUUACUAGCUCAACAUAAGUGAAUGGAAAAAAAAAAAUAGAAGCUUUUCCUUCAAGUGCCUAACAUUUAUAA